AAUGAAGUUCCCAAGAAGCAAGGCAGGAUAGUUUCAAUUGUUGGAUUUGGAGGUCUGGGAAAGACAACUCUUGCCAAUGCAGUGUACAAAAAGAUUAGAGCACAAUUUGAUUGCUAUGCUUUUGUUUCUGUUUCUCAAACUCCUGACCUGAAGAAACUAUACAAAUGCUUGCUAUAUGAUCUUGGCAAGAGCAUCAACGAAGAAACAUUGGAUGAGAGGCGACUCAUAGAAGCACUCAGAGAAUUCCUUGAAGACAAAAGGUACGAAAGCAUUCCUUUCGCCAAUUUAUACAUAUGAACUUUUUUGGACUGAUAAUUUAUGCCCUCUGUUCACAAUACUAUAAGUCUACAUAGGGUUAAUUAAAUGUUCAUGCACGUGGCACCUAUUAAAUUACAAAAUACAACCACUUAAGCUUUACCACAACAUUAUUAAGUGCAAAUAAUUUCCUCACUGGACUUAUUUUAUCCACAGACUUGCCAAUCCAGCUGCUCCCGAGCUAUUUUAAUUUAAUCAUUAAACCAUUAGCAGUGGUCUAGUUUGCUUAAUUUUCUUGUAGCUGGUAUAUGAACAACAUUAGAGCUUUCUUCAGUCCUUAAACCACUAUUUUUGCUAAUAACUUGGCAUAUGUGUAGGUAUUUUGUUGUUGUUGAUGAUGUAUGGGAUAUAUCAGUUUGGAAAAUGAUUAGAUGUGCUUUGCCUGAUAAUGAUGUUGGAUAUACUAUUAUUACAACAACCCGUAUUUCUGAUGUUGCUGAACAAGCUGGGGUGCUUACAACAUGAAACCUCUUUGUUUGAAUAACUCCUGACAACUAUUGUAUAGAAGAAUAUUUGGUAAUGGGAACAAAGACAACAAUGAAGAAGAAGAAAAAUGUCCUCAUGAGGAGCUAGCCGAAGUAUCUGACAGAAUACUGAAGAAAUGUGCCGGUGUGCCAUUAGCUAUAAUUACGAUGGCUAGUUUGCUAGCUUGCAAAGCAAGAGAUAAAAUGGAGUGGUAUGAGGUGUGCAAUUCUGUUGGUACUGGUCUGGAAAAUAAUCUAGAUGUGGAGAAUAUGAGAAAGAUUUUGUCAUUUAGCUAUUAUGAGCUACCAUGCCAUUUAAGGGCUUGCUUGUUAUAUUUGAGCAUGUUUCCUGAAGAUUAUAUAAUUGAGAAGGAUCGUUUGAUAAGGAUGUGGUUAGGUGAAGGUUUUAUCCAAUGUGAAAAAGUAGGGAAGAGCCUAUUUGAACUUGGAGAGAGUUAUUUCAAUGAGCUUAUAAACAGGAGCAUGAUCCAACCAGAAUAUGAUCUUGAUGACAUAAUGAUACAAGGUUGUCGUGUACAUGAUAUGGUGCUUGAUCUUAUCCGCUCCUUGUCAAGUGAAGAAAACUUUGCUACUGUACUAAGUGAUAUGGGAGGCACAUCUCCGUCAAAUACGAUUCGGAGGUUGUCCCUUCAGAAUGGCCAAGAAAGUCAUGUGAUAGCUCAAGCUACUUUCAGCAUGAAACAUGCAAGGUCGGUUGUUGUCUUUCCAGCUGCUGCUUCUCUAGUGCCACCUCUUGACUGCUGCCGAGUUUUACGUGUUCUGGAUUUAGAGGAUUGCAAUCUUUCACAAGCUAAUAGUAGCCUUAAGUACCUUGGGAAUCUACAUCACUUGAGGUACUUGGGACUAUUUAAGACAGGUAUUUCUCAGCUCCCGGAAGAAAUAGUAAACCUGCAGUUUCUACAGACAUUGGAUGUAAAGCACAACAAAAUUUCCAGGUUGCCUUCGAGUAUUGUCCAGCUAAGAAAGUUGAUGUGCCUAUACAUUAACUGGACUACAAUAGUUCCAAAUGGAAUUGGAAACCUAACAUGCCUUGAACAGCUGUCAAGGUUACGCAUUAAUGACUCCACCAGAAACAUUAUAGAAGAGUUGGACCAGCUAACUGAACUGAGGCAGCUGUCCAUUCAAUUGGACGAGUGGAACGAUAAGCUGUUGGAAUGCCUAUGCAAGCUACAAAAGAUGCAGGAACUAACUAUCACGGUCUAUCCUGGUCAACGCAGCAUCGGCGGAUUGGAUGCUUGGGUCGCCCCUCAACAUCUCCGUGAAUUGGAUACACAACGCAGUAUUAAGGAGAUAAAUGAACAGGUGAUGAGAGAGUAGCAAUAUCACUAAGAAAUCAAGGAGGUGUAUUGCAUCAAACAAGUAAGAUCAUUCAUCAAGAAGGAGAUGCAUGAUCAAGAUCAAGCAGUGAUCAAGGAGAGAGGAAAUAAACAGACAAGGAUUGAGGGUCUAACAUUUGCAAGAUAAGAAGUGCAAAUGAAAAGAGCUCAAGUUAUCAAGGAGGAUUGAGAAAAGAAAAUGAUCAAGGAGUGAGAAUAUUUUCCAGAAAGGUCAAGGAUAAGGCAGGAAUUGUUUAUAUAGUAAAGCAGACCUUAGGAAGUGACCAUUGCUACCUAGGCUUACGUCCUACAGUCGAUACGGCUCUGAUACCACUUCUGUCACACCCGGUUUUAAGGACAAAACCAAGUGCUACCUAUAUGUAUGCCAGGAUCAAGUUUCAUACAUAUAGUGACAUCAUUAGUGAAUAACAGCAACAGUAUCACGUAAAAAGAUACAAAGACUUACGAAACCAUCAGAGAUAUACAGCUUAAUUAUGGAAACGGAGGCUCCAAACUUCACAGGCAAUCGACUGGGGGUUGCGUACGCCUAGAACUCAGCAUCAUCUUCGGAACAACUUCAUAGCAGCUUCUUCUUCUGAGCAAUGUUGUUUAUAGCAAGGGUGAGCACUUGUCGUACUCAGCAAGUGUGAGGAGAAUAUGAAUGCAAGGGUUAAACAAGGAAAGGCUGACUGGUUGACUGCAUUAAGCAUUUUUAGUUGGUCAAAUUUUAUUAGCACCAGAUUACUAAGGUAUAAGUAUAUACCAACCCACAAUUAAUAGAAACAUAAACAUAAGCCAUAAGCAUAUGGCACAACCAUAACCAUAGCAUAAACCACAAUUUAAAUCCAUCUUCAAGUAUAUUACUCAUGUGAGGGUCCAGGCCGCUCUUAACCGUGAGCACGGCUGAUCGAUCAGUUUUACACUCUGCAGAGGUCGCACAUCUUUACCCACAAUUCGCGUAAAAGCUCAAAAGAACUUUAGACCCAACCACGCUUGUGCUGAUCAGGCACAAUACCACACUUCCGAGGUGUGAUUGCAUAGGGACGCUACGAGGCCUUUACAAAGAUUCAUUAGUCAGUGGUAACCCGCUAAGGUUUCGGUGUCUGGCGUGCACCACCCAUCCCAGGUAAAAUGCAACGACUCAGUCCCCCCUCUUGCCUCAUCACGAGUAAGGUCACCCCAGACUAAGGUUUCUAAUUAUUCAGCCAAGACCAGAGCCAUUUAGUCUUGUGGUAGCACUGUUUUCCUGGGUGGUCGCUCCAUGUUCCAAUUAAAUAUUGUAAUCUUGUAUUAACAAAAGGUAUAUCAUAAAUAGAAUAAGUUCACCAUGUUGUUCAUUAGAACCACCAUAACCCAAGUAUAGCAGCUAAGCAUAGCUACCCAACAGAAAGGUAAACCCAGGUUGGCAAGGAAUAAUCAUAAAAACUAGGCAAACCUUAAUAGGACCCAACAAAUUUAAUGCAAGCAUGUGCAAUAGUGAUUAAAUAAAGUUAUUAGGACAAAAGUACAAGGACACACUUGCCUUUCUCCAGCGACAAGUUACUUCUUACUGCUCUUCGGCUCUUGCUCUCUUGAAACUCUUAAUCUUCAAAGCUUUCGAACAGCGAUCCUUCUACUCGAAGCAAUCACCGGCACAAUCAUACAAGUAAACAAACAAAUACAACUAAGAGCAGUACACCAAAACAAAAGGAAAGCUUUAAAAGAGCGUACUAACGACAAGGCUCGAUCUAAGGUCACGCGAACGUAAGGAACGCUUAAAACGGAACUAUGGUUGAAAAGAUAAAGCUAUCGAGAGUUUUGAAUUAUAAAAGAAAGAUAAGAGCUACAAGCUUUAUUUAUUUUAGUUGAGAAAAGCAAUGUAAAGAUAUUUCAGAGAAAUAUCCUUAGUUAGAAUUAAUCAAGUCAUAUUUAUAUUUUCAUGAGAAAAGACGGUGUAAAGCUUACUCCAAUUUUAUUUAUAAAUAUUUGAGUACAAUUUAUGCAAAUUAAACAUUUAAUUUAAAAAUAAGAUACAUGUAGACAUCUAAGCGUAUAGCUUUACAUCUCGAGUUCAACUAAGUAGAUUAAAUUAAAAACACAUUUAUAUUUAUAUAAGCCAAAUUAAUAUUUAAUUAUGAAAACUCGAGAUAUAACCUAUACAGAUUUUAUUUAGAAAACAAAUUGAAUAAACAUUAAUCAAAUUGAAUUUAAUUUAUGAAACGCCGAGGUAUAACUCUUAGUGGCUUUUAAUUGGAAGAAUUAUUUAGAUAGGCAUUAAUCCAAUUAACUUUAGUUUAUGAAAAACCGAUAUAUAACCUAAUUGGCUUUUAUUUAGAAGAGGGUAUGAAGUAGGCAUUAAUCAAAUUAACAAUUAUUAUGAAAAACGAUGUUUAACACUAAAUAGAUUUUAUUUAGAGAAGAACUCGUUUGUCAGGCAUUAAUCAAUUUUAAUAUAAAUUUUAUUUUCAAAAACAUGUGUGAAGGAAAACAUUACCACUAACGUGUAAUUUACAUCAUUAUGAAUCUAACGCAACUUGAACGGACGAAAACGGAAUUAAAACGUAGAAUCUAUGGGUUAAACAACGUUGCAGGGGUCUAAACGUAAUUAACCGUAGACUUGGAGGGUUAGCAAGGAAAAUUACCAAGACUCAGAGAAUAGUCACUGCGAAUAGAUGGAUCUUCGGGGUUAGAUCUGCAAAAGAGGAUGGCUUGGAUCAGAUUGCAAGGAGCUGAAAGUUACAGGGGGUUUUCUACAAGGUUUGAAAGACACAAGAAAUAAGCUGAAAAUUUGAGUUUUCCUCAGGGGCCUAAGAGCAAAAUCACCAUCAUCUUCAACCUUCCAACGCACUCCAACUGACUGGUAACAUGUUGGCCAUAGACCGUGGUCUAGGCCGGUCCUGCCGGCGGCGACGGCCGUGGCUGGGGCGGCUUGCGCGAGCGGCGGGUGGAUGCGCCAGCAGGGAGGCUCGGCCGGCGGCUCCGGCGGCGCAGGCGGCGGCGCAGGCGGCGGCGCAGCGUGCAGGCGGCGGGCGGACGAACGGACCAGGCGUGCUGGCCCAAGUUGCGUACAGAAACAGGAUGGAUGGAGAGAGAGAAAGAGUGGAUAGCCGGAAACGAAGCCCGAUCUCGCGCAUGAACGGCAAAAUGGAACGAUAUCGACGAGACGAACAAGAUGGUGUGCUCACCUUCGGCCAGAGAUGAACAAUGGCGGUGGAAAAGCUCGCCGGAGUUGGGGAAGACGACGGAGCCGACAUCGGAUUCAUGCAAUCCACCACACCAUGGCGUAGAGCUCGAAGAGAGGAACUCCAUGGUGGUGUCGGUUUUCGCCGGAAGUCCACGGUUUCGCCGGAAAAGCUCGCCGGAGUUUGACGAAGACCGAACUUUGACUUCAGAUCUACGGAGUUAGGAGAUGCAACUCGUGAAAAGGUUUUCAGAUCUGAAAUCCUCGCGUCGAGACGAACGCGGUGAUAUAUAUAUAUAGGCCACACUCGGAAAAAGAUAUUUUCGAGUUGACUUUUUAUUUUCGGAAUUUCUGAUUUUAUUUAUCUGCGCGAAAACAAUUCCAGAAAUAGCUGGACUCGUUUUCUAGAGCGAGAAAGAUACCUAGAAAAUUCCGAAAAAUCUGAGAUAAAUCUCAGAGAUGGAUUGGGAUGCAAGGAAUCCAAAUAAAAUACUUGGAGCUCGUGAAAAGGAUUUUAGAACCUUCCAAAAAUUGGAUUUAGCUCUAGGAAAAGGAGAAUAAAUUCCAAAAAAAGAUGGAAAAUCCUCCCAAGGGUCUGGGCAACGUCUAAACGCAUUUUUCAAACUUUUGCGCUUAAGAAACACCAAGAUGCAACGACAUGAAUGCACAGACAUAGAACAACAUUAUUUAAUUUAGAAAAGCAAACAAUUAUUUUUUUCCUAUACUAAAUUUCCUGUAAAGAAAAAAAAAUAAAUGUUGGGAAAAUUUUAAAAUUAUGAGAAAAUUAUUGUUUAUUUAUUCUUUUUAUUCACAUCCUGAAAUUCAGAAAUUUCAGGGUGUGACAGAAAAGUUAAAGAUUAUAAAUGUGGAUGAAAAUAUUAUAGAGUAAUUACUAACUAAAUCUAUCACAAUUGGAUGAAGAUAAUAAGUAUAUAUAUCUAUUGUGUUUGAAUAUUUAACAAAUGAGAGGUAGCUUAUGGUAAUAUUUUUUAGCAAUGUAGUCCCAUUUUUUUUUCCAUUGGAGACUCCGCAUUAGUUCCCAUCAGACAAGCUAGAAAAAAAAAGAGACAAAUUCUCAUAAAAAUCAAAAACAUCAAACACCAAUCCUGUAAAAUCUAAUAAUCAUAGCCAUUGAUCUAUUAUAUUUUCUAAAAAGUUACCCACCACUAUCAUUGUGAAAAUAUUCAAAAAUGAGCUCUAAACCUAUAUCUAAAUUACCGAGCUCAGCUAUUAUAAAAAAUAAUCUAAAGUAAUCCCAUAAUCUUCAUCCAAUUUACUAAUACAUAUCAUUAUAAAGCAUAAAUUAAAAUGUCAUUCUAAAAUUUUAUCUAUACUACCCACGUAAGUUGUUUUUAAAAAUAACCUAAAUUAAACAUCUAAAUCUUAAUCUAAUUAUAUUCAUGUGCAUCAUACAUAAAUGUCAAAAAUAAACUAAUAUAUGAUUCUAAAUUACCUAUUUAUGUCAUUAUUAAUAUAAAAAUACUAAGUUAAAGUAUAUACACACGAUGAGUGUCACCAUUUAGACCAUUUAUACAUGUACGUGAGGAAUCGAUGAAAAAUAUUGAUUUGUAUGCUAAACAUAAUGUAUGGAGGAUUGGAGGUGCGAUACAAAAUGGAAAAAGUAUGAAUAUGGAUGAAAAAGUGCAUAGAGUAAUUAUUAAUUAAAAAUCAAUCACAAUCGGAUAAAGAUAGGUACAUAUCUAUAUAAGUAUUAUGUUGACGUAUUGAAAAAAAUAAGAGAGUAGUAGGUAAUCAAUUUUGAUUAUUAGCUAGGAGUUUAAUUUGUAAAUAAUUUUCAAAUACAAUAGCUUCUAAAAAUAUUAACCCGUGCGGGAGCACGGGUUGAUGGACUAGUGGUGUCUAAUUGUGGCAGAUAAAUAACUCCAACUCUUUCGAGAACUCCAACCCUCUGUCUUCCUCCGAAGUGUAUAUGUAUACAUACACAUUUAACAGCUUCAAUGGGUGUGGCUACAGAGUCGCCGAUCAAGAACUAGAUCAUUUUCUUCCUGUUUAGUGACUACCUGACAGACUGAACUAUGAAGUCUGAACAGGCCAGUUCUGACAGACCUCAGAGCUUCAAAAUCAGAUUUUCAGCGUGCUUUCGUCAUUUGCCAGUAGCGAUGCUUGAAGGAAAAAGUAACAUCAAAACAUUUUAAAGUGAAACAUUUUCUUUUCACAAAAGAAUAACAAGCUAAACCUCACAGGCCAUUCGGGGGAAGCUAGAGGAUGCAAGGGAAAAAGGGGGACGCAAUGGAGGAGGCGAAUUCCGGUGACGCUAACACCGAGCGAGACGCUGGUGGUGGGCCGGAACGAACGCGUCCAGGUCGAAAUCUUUUUACUACAAGGUGCCUUCAAUUCAGUUCAUCCCCUUCUCCAUUUCCUUCAUGCGCGACAUUGGCACCCGGCAAACAAAAUCACUGAUGCAUCGUGAAAAAAGCUCAUGACUCCGGGAGGCAUUCAUGAUACAUGGAUGAUUUUUGAACAGUUGUUGGGAUCGCUUGGCACCGCUUGUAGGCGUGUUAUAUAUACACUCUGCCAUGCCUUAAGUACAGAGUAACCUGCGUUUUCUCUUUCAAGCAGUUAGCUAGUCUUUGAACUAUAUGAAGCAUUGGAGGAAACCAAAUUACGAGCUUUGACUUUUGUAGCUGAACGCAUCCACAAAUUUGGUGAGGCAUAUGGGCACAUUCAGACAAUCUUUGAUCUUGAUCACUUUCGGCCUGUACAAAUCUUUUCUCUUUCACACAAUUCCAAACACGAAGAACCAGUGAAGACUUUGUAUAUACGAUGGUAUAAGCCAUAAUGGUGCGUAUCGUUAUCGUGGUCCAUGUUGCUAAUGGUAUACAGAAGUUCAAUUUAUUGGUACAAGUGGCCAUGAUGUAUUUGUGAAAAGAGCAUCCUGUUCUUGCUGACUUCAUUGAUAACACGAUCAGGUUCGCUAUUUGGAUGUGUCGAUCGUGACCGGACUUCAGAAUGCUACCUUCCUUUGUUAGGCGUGUUACAACUUACAAGAACUGUAAAGAAGAAAUAGAAACUCAGUUAACAUCAUAUCACAUACAAUGAAUCACAUCUCAUCGACAGAUAUUUGUCUGAGCUUCUCUUCAUCUCCGCUACGGCAUUGCACCCAGCAGCCUUCUACAUGGCGUUUAUGUUUUUUGUCCUGUGAUUCUAUAAUGGAUGAAGAACCGGUUACAGGUGAUCCUCGGAAGGUCACCUGAGCUUUUCCUUAAGGCCCGUCGAAUGAAUUUGUCCGCGUGCUCCUCAUGCUCCCUCGACGCACGCAUCCACGUCCAUCCCGGCCGGCGAUCACCGGUCAUAUAAGCUGAUUAGGCUGAUAGCUAUAUGAUUGAAGCGACGGCAGCACAAACUCGGGCGAGGGACGGACUCUGUUAUCGAGCGUCAACCAUCAUCGUUUACAUGUUGUUCAGAAUUCAGUCAUAUGGUUCAGUUCACUUCUUGGUUGUCAGGUAUUUCCGGGAGGCAAAAACUGACUAGACUCACUGAAGCAUGUACGCAUAGUGCCAUCUGUUCAUCACAUCAGUGGGAGGUCCUGAAAGGGAGUUUAGAUAGAAGAGAUUAAAAUUACAUUGUUUGUUUGGUGGGAAUGGGAGUUUUAAUGGGAUGAGGAAUAGGAGUUUAAUGGGAUAAGGAAUGGGAGUUUAGAGAGGCAACUCCCACUUAUCAUUUCCCCAGGGGAGGGGUGGGAAUUAGGUAAGAAUUUGUUUUAAAUGGAAGAUGAAUGCAUCUACACCGUUUAUCAUAACUUAAGAUAUAAUUUCCCACUGCUAAACCCUCACACCAAACAACGGAUAUCUAGUUUCACUUAAACUCCCACUCUUAAUUCCCUCCAAAAGACAAACAAGGAAAUGGCACUAAAAAUCAUAUUCCCAAAUAAAUUCCCUCCACCAACUCCCACCGCUAAUUCCGAAGCCCCUUCCCAUUAGUUGCCCAACGCACCCUUAAAUUAGACGAAACUGGCACCGGUCAAAAACAGAAUACUGAUCGAUCAGAUGAUCACCUAUGUGCUGUGAAAUGAAAUGAUUCAUGAACAGUAACCGUAUGACUUGUUGGAGAUCACUCUAAAAGACAGCCACCCUCGAGGUCAUCUUCUUCGGCAUGAGCCAACUUGCAUCGUGAAAUCUUUUGGCUUCAGGCGAAGGUUGCUAACAUCGUGAGACCAAUUUGGCAUAAAAACCAUGUUAGCCUCGCGCUGUCUCUGUAGCUCGGGUCUCGAAGCUAAGGCAUAAUUGCUAAUGGCUAAAAUGUGACAAAGCUUACCCUCGGAUGCUCGAAGCUAACCUCGAGUGACAAGUUUUUUACUGUGUUUUAUUCAGGGUUACCGGAAUGAGGACGCUAAGGCUCAAGGCACGAGGCUAGGCAUCUUUCUCGGCACGAGGAUGAGAGAACUUCAAGCACGAGGUAAAGAGGUUCGCUGGAAAGAUGCUAAAGGCACAAAGGCGUGAAAAGCAUGAUUGCAUGGAGGCGUUGGAAACGUGAACCCCCGGUGGCGUGAUUAACGUGACUACCCGCUAGCGUGAGAAGCGUGACCCAAUAGAAGAGACCAAGUCGAACAAGGUACCUCCAACCUUUAUGUACAGUAGUUGAGAUAGGGUGAUCUUAGAAUGUAAAGUGUCCCUCGGAUCACUAUAAAAGAGGAGCACUACCCUGGUGUAAAGGGAUGAUCUUUUUUGAGAACUGAAUCACGAGUGCUAACUCUACAUUGUUGUGUUCGAGUCUCCUUGAGGAGUUCUCUAUCGCUAGGUGUGAAAGCCUACAGAGUCUUGAAUCUUCCCAAGGUGCGUCAGCUGUGGGUAAGUUGCUGUCAAGUUUAAGGCGUGUGGAUGAGUUGGGCAGUUUGGAGCAGCUGUGGCUGAAUGUGGAUUUGCAGGACCUCGCUUCUCAGUGGGUGCCUGGGCUUAAACAACAGCGCCAAUAACUCCAUGGGGAAGACCUGGAUAUCUACACAUGGUGACUGAGGUACGAGAAAAACUGGGCAUUAAUUUAGUUGCUCCUUAAUUUGUUUGGUUGUCCAUCUAAUUAAUGUUGUUUUCUCUCUGAAUUUUGUAGUUUCAACCGACACUAGCAUCUUGAAUUUGUGGAUAUUAGUCUUCUGUAGGAAGGAGGACUGAUGAUAAAGUGCAACGAUCAAGAUGAACUGAGGUCGAAGGGUGGGAACUGAGAGAUGGAAAUCAAGAGCAGCUGCAUGCGAUGCAUCGAUUCUUGCUCUAAGGUUGGUUCUAUGAGAACACAGGCAACACAGGGAGAAGGCUUCCUCUCUUCUUUGGCCCAUUGGAAGCCUUGUUUAAUCUUGUUCAAGUGUUUGCUAUUGUUGUGUGCAUGUCUAAACAAAAUGUGUGCUACUUACUUGAGUUUCUCGAUUAAUUCAUUCUGUAAGGCCUGGUUUGGUUCGUUUGCUUAUUUUUAAGCAUCCGUCAUAUCGAAUGUUUAGAUACUGAUUAGGAGUAUUAAACGUAGACUAUUUACAAAAUCCAUUACAUAAGUGGAGGCUAAACGGCGAGACGAAUCUAUUAAGCCUAAUUAGUCCAUGAUUUGACAAUGUGUUGCUACAGUAAACAUUUGCUAAUGAUGGAUUAAUUAGGUUUAAUAGGUUCGUCUCGCUGUUUAGCCUCCACUUAUGUAAUGGGUUUUAUAAAUAGCCUACGUUUAAUACUCCUAAUUAGUAUCUAAACAUUGAUGUGACACUUGCUUAAAAAUAAGCAAAGGGAACCAAACGCCCCCUAAGAUGGGCUUCUAUUCCUUGUACUUAGCGAACUUGUAAUCAUAUCUUGGCUGGUGCCUAUGCUGCUGCUCCGUCGUCAAUUUGUCACCUGCUCUUUCACUGUGAUGCGAUUACAAUUUGUUGGGUGCAAUCAAUUUCUUCCGUUCUGUUCUCAAAAAAAUGUCAGAACUUGGAGAAUCACAGCCAUCAAGAUGCACUGAUGUCGGAACUCGGAGAAGGCUCCUUCUCUUCUUUGGCCCAUGGGAAGGCUUGUUUAAUGUUGUUCAAGUGUUUGGGUAUCCUUGUGUGCAUAUCUGAAUAAAUUGUGUGCUACUUGAGUCUCUCGAUUAAUUCAAUCUGUGUGAUGGCUUGUAUUCCUUGUACUUCGUGAACUUGUAAUGUCAACUUCAUCUGCUGUUGCAUGCUUUCUGUUGCCAACUGAGCUCCUGUUUUGUUACCACUGCUAUUAAUUUUUACUCUAAUAGAACUUCUGUUACUCGUUCCCCUGCUUAGUUCCCUAAUGCAUCUUAUGUCAAACAAUCAAGUCAUCCCGUGAAUGGUGAAAUGCGGGUUAGCUCUAAAAAUCAUAUCUUGGCUGGUGCCUAUGCCACUGCUCUGCCAUCAAUUUGUCACCUGUCCUUUCACUGUGAUGCGAUUACAUUUUGUUGGGUGCAAUCAAUUUCUUCGGUUCUGUUCUCAAAAAAAAAAUCUUCCAUUCAUAGGACUAGAUUUGCACGAGCAAAUUUCCGCUCAAAUUCGUGCAGCUAGAUGAGGCACGAGUCGUCAUUAGUCGAUACUUAGGUAGCUGCAGUUCUGAGCAUCUACUGAAACUCUGUUCUCUUUGCAUCUACUCUGUUUUCUUCGAACCCUGCUUGAUUCAGUACCAACACAAGACAGCUAGCCGGAUCAGGUAGCGUGGUCGCUCUACUACAGAUGAACCUCUGAACAUUAAUUUCCUCUGUUUCUAUAAAUCGUGCAGCUGUUCAACAAUAAGAAACCAACUAAUUUCAUCAUGUUUAUUCAAAAAAUGGCUGGCUUGUGGAAAUGCCCGAAUUGAUGGACUAGAAUGUUGAACACAAAGUUUGGGAAAAGAGUUAAUCUCAGAAUUAGAGUUGGCAUGCAUGGAUCAUGAUGCGACUUAGAUCUACUUGUGUAUAUCCAAUUGCAUCAAGGAAAAGAGCUGCUCCAGAGCUAUCUUGAAGCUUUCUCCUCCAAGCGCAGGGAGGAAUAGAACAGAGCAGAGAACAGCUGCACUGCAAAGGCGCUCUCUGCACUCCUAGGAAGACUGAUUGGACUGAGAAAACAUGUGGUUGGACUUUUGACUAGGGGAGCUAAGGUGAACGAUUGUUGACUAGGAAGGCAUGAGGUUGGACCUCUCAUUCGGUCCGCUAAAAGAACAAUUAUUGUUGACUAAGAAAACAUGAGGUUCGGCCUCAGAUGGAAUUUGUAAGGUCCAAAGGGCCACUUUCAUAUCUUCUCCAUUCUAGAGGAUCGGAAGCUUUGGUCAGUUUUGUAUUCAUUUCUUUGCAAAAGAAACGUACUCAGAUGCCUCCUAUGGUCUCCAUGGUUGGUUGCAAUCACCUAACUGAAUUAAUUGAACGAUAGAUAGAGCAUACUGUAAAUUUUUUAUGACCAAGGACAAAAGGAACGACUUCUACUGAACUGACCACACAGCAAAGAGGCCAAGGCCUGGUGGCCUUAUCGUCACGCAUCUCGCUACUAAGUAGUGAUCACACACCAAAUAAAAGCUAACAGCCGAAGAAGGCAACGGAUGUCAACAAAGAUGGCAUGCAUGCAUGUUUCCUUGACUAUAUAUGACAUGGGACAACUAAUUUACAUUUAUACUGCUACGAGUUUUACAAUAUUAGUAAAAAUCUAUUUGGAUCCGAUGCUAAAUUUUAGCGGGCUAAAAAUUAGUCCUUAACGAUUUAAAUGGUGGGGCUAAAGGUGGACUAAUUAUUAGCCAACUCAAACUAAACUUUAGUUCAUUAGCCCUCCAAACCCAGCUAAUGGGGCUAAUUUUACAAACGAAUGGUAAAAGAUUAAAAAUACCCUCCACUAAAAUCUUAAGAUUUUCUCUCCUACACCCCCUAAGGAUAGAAUAGACAUUUCCCAAUAAAUAGGUUAAAAAUUAGCUCUACCUCCAAAGAAGACAGAGUUAUUUUAGCCAACGAAAGUUUUGAUGUCUAAACUUUAGUUUUAGUCCAUCCAAACAGACUCUUAGAAUGAUUGAUACCACCACCUUGAUUUUGGUUCGGAAGUAUUUAUCUAGAUAAAAUAAAAAUUUUAGCGCUGGUCCAUGUAUCUAGAAAAACCAAAUCAACCUACAUUUUGAAACGAAGGGAGUAGAAUGUAAGAUGCAUAGGUGCAACUUGAAGAAAAUUGGAUCCCCGUUGGUACGGAACUAUGAUACAAGUAGGGAGAGAUGUCUCGUACGUAAUUUCGCUGUUGCACGAUUCAUGAAUGCAUGCAUGUAUGAUACAAGUAGCAAGAGACGUCUCGUGAUUUCGCUGUUGCACGAUUCGUCAAGAUGCAGGGACCAGCAUCAUCAAACUGAAAACGUGAUGGACUGAGACGGCGGCGCGUGUUGGAUGUGUUCCGCCUGCAGGCCGCGACGUACUUGAGAAUAGCACGCGUCACGUAAGGGGUGUUUGGUUCUUCAGAACCUCCUAAAAUUCCUAUCACAUCGAAUGUUUAGAUAGUAAUUAGAAUUCCUAUCACAUCGAAUGUUUAGAUACUAAUUAGAAGUAUUAAAUAUAGACUAAUUAUAAAAUCAAUUGCACAGAUGGAGGCUAAUUUGCGAGACGAAUCUAUUAAGCCUAAUUGCACAGAUGGAGGCUAAUUGCGAGACGAAUCUAUUAAGCCUAAUUAGUCCAUGAUUUGACAAUGUGAUACUACAGUAAACAUGUGUUAAUGAUGGAUUAAUUAGGCUUAAUAGAUUCGUCUCGCGAAUUAGCUUCCGUCUGUGUAAUUAGUUUUAUAAUUAACUCAUCUUUAUUCCUUCUAAUUAGACAAAUAUUCGAUGUGACAUAAAUUUUAAUCCGGACUAAAGAUCCAAAUUACCCCUGGUACGCGUGGGAGUAGCUCAGCUGUCCCUGUCCAUUGCGGCCCGGAAACUGGAAUUCCACCUUCAAGAAGUACGUGCCGAGCCUGACUGUUUGUAGAUUCGUCAAGGUCAUCGUGGUGUUUCUAGAUUCGUUUCAUCUUUCGAAGCAGAGUUCUUGUGUUGAGUUCUUGUUGUUCACCGUGGAAGAGUUGGCGUUUCUAGCACGCACGGAGAGUGAACCAAGGCAUGUGGGACGACCCAUUCGGAGUAGUAGUCAAUGUGGAAUUGAAUGACGGGCUGUGUUAUGGUGUGCAUCGAGUGGAAGAAAUUAAAAAGUCUGAUUGCAACGUUACUGCGUUACUUGACGAAAUCUGCAGCUUGAAGAACAGGGAAGGUCCAUGAAUGCAUGCGCCGGAGGAGAUCCGGAACAACGUAUGCAUAUACGGGAGUUCUUGGGAAAAUAAUAAUUAGAUAAAAAUUACUAAAUUAUCUAUAAAAAUGGAAGGUUAACCUACAUGAUUAUGAUAGUGCAGAAAUCAACCGAGCAGGAAUGGAGUCAACAAUGACGUGUCCUGUGCAACAAUGACGUGCCCAGGAAGAUGCGGUCCAGUUGACGCAGCCAAGAUGGGCCGUUACACGUUGAUCCAUUGUUAGCUAGCGCACUCGCUUCACCAGCAGCAACCUCUAUAAAAGGAGAUCAAUACCGGAACAGAUCAGCAAUCUGCACAAGACCACAAGUAGUUAACUAAGCAUUGCAGCCAGUUACUAGCAACUAGUGACUACUGAACAUCCAGCGCGUAGGAUGGCUGCAAGAAAGGAUAUUGGUGCUAACAAGGAGACCUGCGGCGCCUUUGAACCUUGUUUAUGGGGCGACUUCUUUGUGAAUUACACUCCUACCUCAUCACAGGCAUGAAUUUAUGAUUUCAUUGUACUCAGCAUGUUAUAAUGUUUAGUUCUUUAGUUAUAUUGUAUUGCAUAACAAGCAGAGGUCGGAGGAGUGGAUGAGAGAGAGGAGUGAGCAACUCAAAGGGGAAGUGUGCCGGAAGUUUGAGGUUGGAAAAGCCAUGAGCGUGGCCGACGCGGUGAGGUUGGUGGACACGCUUGAACGCCUUGGUAUAGAUAACCAUUUCGUCAAGGAGGUUGAGAAGGCCUUGGAGGGUGUCCACGAUGAGGAGCUGGACUUUGGUAGCUCCAAUGACUUGCAUGUUGUUGCCCUCCGGUUUCGUCUUCUUAGGCAACAUGGCUUUUGGGUAUCCGCAGGUAAUAGAAAUCAGAAGCUAACAAAAGCUGAUCAGUUAUGCUCGAUCAUUAUUCUUUCACACAUGUUUCUCUGUUUUUCUCUUUUUUCCUGUUGCCACCACAUAACCUAUAUACGCUGAAAACUGUUUAUCAUUCAUACAAUUUUUUUUGUUUAGAUUUGAUUUGAAUGCGUGUGUAAUAUUAUGUACUAGGAGUUAUAGAAAACGCCAUAUCAUUACUAUAUGAGCUUCUAGUGAUGAAUAUGUACAUACGUGCAUGCAUACAGAUGUAUUCGACAAAUUCAGAGAUGACACCGGUAGUUUCAACGUAAAUCUAAGCAAUGACCCGAGGGGCCUGCUUAGCUUGUACAAUGCUGCUCACAUGGCGGUACCUGGUGAGACGAUCUUAGAUGAUGCUAUCGCCUUCACUAGGCGCCAUCUUGAGGCUGCAAAAGGCAAGCUUACAUCUCCUAUAAAGGAACAAGUUUCCCGUGCCCUAGAGAUUCCGCUCCCUCGUUUUAUGCGGCAACUAGAGACCAUGCAUUAUAUUACUGAGUAUGAGAAAGAAGAGCCACACGACAUCAUGAUGCUAGAGCUUGCAAAGAUUAACCUCAACCUUCUUAGGAGUGUCCACCUCAAGGAGCUUAAGGACCUCUCACUGUAAGUUGAUAUUCUAGUUCUUUCACCCUAUUUGUUCAUUGUUCAUUGUCUUCACUAACAAGGUGGGUUAACCAAUUCCAUGUGAAGAUGGUGGAGGGAUCUCUAUGACAGUGUGAAGCUAACCUACUGUCGGGACCGCAUCGUGGAGUCUUACUUCUACAGCUUUGGAGUGUUCCAUGGGGAGGAAAGCUCUGCUGCGCGGAUCAUACUUACCAAGGUGUUUGGGUUGUUGGUCCUGAUUGAUGACACAUUUGAUGUGCGCGCCACCUUUGAGGAGUCCCAAAUGUUAGAUGAUGCCUUGCAAAGGUAGGAUAAUUCACUACCACUACAACUACUUCCUCUAUUAUAUGCUUUUUGUAAAUGAAAAAUCAAGUUUUAUCGUACAGCUCACUUAUAAAAAUAACAAGGGACUCGAUAACUGGAAUGCUGACUCACAUAUGAAAAGAACCUAAACUCAUUAUUGUAAGGAAGUCGUACUACAAGAUGGUUGCAUACUUGUAUGUGGUUAUAUAUGUUGUUCGCUGGUCAAAAUAAAACAGCCAAACUAAUUAGUGUAUUUCUGUCAUAAUUAUAUGUAGAUGGGAUGAGAGCACUGUUUCGCUUCUACCACAAUACCUACGCAUGUUCUACAUCAAAACAUUGAGUAACUUCAAUGAAAUUGAGGAUACUUUGGAACCGCACGAGAAGUACCGCAUGGAUUAUGUCAAAAAAGAGGUGUGGCUUUAUAGUCAAAUAGUCAACUAACAGCUACGUAACUUCUGUAGAAACCUGACAAACAUGAACAGUGGUUUAGAUCCUCUCAAUUUUAUUAAUCCAAACUUAUUUGCGUACAAUGUUUUUGAUUUUGCAGUACAAAUUGCAAUCAAAAAAUUCCAUCCAACAGGCUAAAUGGUUCAAUGAAAACUGCACGCCCAGCUUCAAAGAACAUCUAGACGUGUCACUUAUGGCGACGGGUUUGCCGUUGCUGUUCUUCACAGCUCUGAUGAGUGCAGGCCAAGUGAUAAGCAAUGAGGCAUUCGAGUGGGCACUUGACAUGCCUGACAUGUUUUAUGCCAAUAUAGAAGUGGGUCGCUUCCUCAAUGACAUCGCUUCUUACAAGGUACUAUAUCGAGGUCAAAUAAUAGUCUAUCUAUUUUUAAAUAUUUGACGCCAUUACCUUUUUCAUUCUUUUGACUAUUCAUCUUUUGUAUAAACAUAAACAUAUGAUGCACGAUUUAAAGCACUUUUGAUGAGAGGUCUAGUGUUACUUAUUUCGCUUUACUUAAUGAAUUAAUUCAAUAACCAUUAUUGGUCAAAGUUUGAGAAAAAGUCACCUUAGAAGGUAUUUCAAUCAUGGAGGUAUUUAUAAGACCAUUGUUGUUAUUUUUAUUGAUAACAAAUAUUAGAAAAGCAAUGGACAGACAUGCAGUACAUUCCAAACCCCUCUGACAUCAUAAACAGCAAAAUGAUCUACUACCUGCUUGUAUCGGAAAAAUAUGACAUUCAGUGCCCGGAUGGAUCUCUAUGUUACUGCAUAUGCACGCACCUAACAUCACAAAUACACAUAUCUUUGCGCGCAGCAAGGGAAGUGCGAGAAGGAUGUGGCCAGCACUGUGGAGUGCUACAUGAGGGAAUACGGCACGACUGGGGAAGAGGCGGUGGCAGCGAUCACCGGGAUGGUGGAACAUGCGUGGAGGAGGAUAAACAAAGCUGGCAUAGAGGUGAAACCUGCAGUAGAGCCGGUAGUGCAAUGUUUGUUGAACACGACGAGGGUGCUAGAGGCCUACUACCUUCAUGGCAGGGACGGCCUCACCUAUGGCCGUGACCUCAAGGAGCUCAUCACCUUCCUCUUCCUGAAGGAUGUCCAUGUCUAAGUUUGUUAUUUGCAUCAGUACGACAUAUACUGUACUGCAUAUGUGCAAUUGUUAAAUGUGAUGAUUGUGUCGAGAAAAAUAAAAACAAUGGUGCCAACCUAGCUAACUGAUGGUCGAGCCUCGUCACUCGGUUCAGCCUGCCAUUGGCUUAUCUUCUGAACUUAAUCUUUUACAUAUAUGAUAUUGUUAUCUGCUCUCAUUUACUGUCAGACUUUUUGUGUGUUUAGCUCUUGGUCUGCUCUCAUUUGCCUAUGCCGCUGCUCUCUCGUCAAUUUGUCAUAUGUCCUUUCACUGUGAUGCGAUUACAUUUGUUGGGUGCAAUCAAUUUCUUCGGUUCUGUUCUCAAAAAAAAAAUCUUCCGUUCAUAGGACUAGAUUUGCACGAACAAAUUUCCGUUCAAAUUCGUGCAGCUAGAGGAGGCACGAGUCGUCAUUAGUCAAUACUUAGGUAGCUGCAGUUCUGAGCAUCUACUGAAACUCUGUUCUCUUUGCAUCUCCUCUGUUUUCUUCGAACCCUGCUUGAUUCAGUACCAACACAACACAGCUAGCCGGAUCAGGUAGCGUGGUCGCUCUACUACAGAUGAACCUCUGAACAUUAAUUUCCUCUGUUUCUAUAAAUCGUGCAGUUGUUCAACAAUAAGAAACCAACUAAUUUCAUCAUGUUUAUUCAAAAAAUGGCUGGCUUGUGGAAAUGCCCGAAUUGAUGGACUAUAAUGUUGAACACGAAGUUUGGGAAAAGAGUUAAUCUCAGAACUAGAGUUGGCAUGCAUGAAUCAUGAUGCGACUUAGAUCUACUUGUGUAUGUCCAAUUGCAUCAAGGAAAAGAGCUGCUCCAGAGUUAUCUUGAAGCUUUCUCCUCCAAGUGCAGGGAGGAAUAGAACAGAGCAGAGAACAGCUGCACUGCAAAGGUGCCCUCCUUCUCGGGCUGUGACUGUGUAAUAUUCCAAAAAUUUGAAAUAUUAAUUUGAGUGAAAUUUCCAAAAAUUCAAAACUUUUUGUUCAAAUUGUGUGCUUGUUUAAAAAUGAAAGACAAAUUCUCUUCUCAUCCAAAUUCCCUAAUGGUCAAAUCACAAAUCUCUUGAAAACUUGUGUGGAUUUUCAUGGAUUUUAUUUGGAUCUCAAAUAUAAGUGUGUUUGAAUUUUGAAUAUAAUUCAAAAUUCAAACUAAAAUGUAUCCCUCCUAAAUUUCUGUAAAUCAUUUCUUAAGAGCCAGAUCCGCCUUCUCUACAAAAUGUUUUUGCUCCUGAAGCUUUUGGCUGAGAGUAUGGAUCACUUUAUCUUUAUCAGCGAUGGUCCUCAUAACUUUUUCUAUAGUGUCCCGGAGUUUCUCCAAAACACCAAGACAAUAAACACCAAGAUUGUCUGCAGAACUCUUUUCCAGGCUUCUCCAAAACACCAAGACAAUAAACACCAAGAUUGUCUGCAGAACUCUUUUCCAGGCUUUUGACUUUCUGAACGAGGUCGCUGCAAGUGUUGGUAAGCAGCACCUUGUUUCUUUGAAGCUUGGCGUUAGCCUCGAAAAGCUCAUUCUUUAGACUUACUAAAAUGCUAUUUUCCUUCUCGAGCCUCGCCACCUUAGCCUCAAGAUUUAGCAUCUUGGCGCUCUGACUGAGCAUAUCCUUCUCUUUCUCUGCUAGCUUCUUCACAGCGAUCUUGCCGAGGAUCACAGACUGCGCAGGCAGCAAACAGAGAAAGGCAAAUUAAAUGCUAUCAAAUAAUAAGAAGCAAGGAAAAUACACAUAUCAAAUACAAUACCUUGUAACCGAGGUUAGCCAACGGCCUGGCAAGAUCGUCAGGUUCGAGGUCACGAACAGCUUUCUCAUACUCUAUCGGAAUGAGACAUGUUAGAAAAACAAGCAAACUAAGGAUAAGUGCAGUUGAGGUAAACAAAAAAGGAAAUAAGAAGAAAUAACUUUCAGGGUCGAAAGCUUUAUCCUCGCAUUCAUUCCUCAGCACGAGCCUUGGCCUUUCCAGAGGCCUAGAGGUCCUCUUUUUUCUCUGUAUCCCCCUUUUUUCGAGCCUCGCCCCCGUCACCCUCAACUUUCCCUGGGAUUGCCUUCGCCACUUCAUCUACAACACGGACUGCAUCCUCAGUCACAGCCCUGGCAAUGUGGGAAUUCUUCGCAGAGUUUUUGACCUUCAUGCCAGCAAGCGGACCAGUAGCCUCAAGCUCAGGUUUGGUUGUAGCUGGCUCAACCCUCGAGACAAAAGACGCAUAGCUCUUUGUAGCUUCGCCCGAAGAACUUUGACCAAGUCUUUCUUUCUUUUUAAGGGCCUCGAGGCUGGAAAUCUUCAACUUUGCUCUCGCAACCUCACUUACAACUUUGCUCUGGUUCUUGAAUAGUUGAUCAAUGACAUGAGUUUGCUACCUGGAUGUGGAUGAGAACACAAGUGUAGUGUGGUGUCUAACUGUGGUGCUAGCAUGACAUGAUCAUGGUAGAUGAAUGAUCCAUGAAUAAUUGUUGCAUGACUUGCAUCAAUGAUCAAUGGAUGCAUGCUUAAAGCAACAAUACCAAAGACUAUCACACUAUCAUUUACCAUUCAAAAUGUUUCAAGAGGUAGAACUGUAGAACAACCUGUGUAUCUUGCUGUUAAGAUGUACUCUAAAGUAUUCAGCUAUUGGAGGUAACCAAACUAACAUUACAAGCAUGUUGGAGCUAGCUCGAAAAGCCAUAUGGGGAUCCGGGUAUGGUUUAUGAUGUUUCCAUCCGCUCAAAUUCUUCAGCAGUUUCUUUCGAGCAGAGUUUAUAUAAGAUGCAUGCCUCUGUUUGCGAAACACGAGUUUUUUAUUCACAUCAAUGUUUGUACAGGCAAGUUCUAUAAAAAAAUAUUUCAUUCACAUCCUUAGUGAAAGAGACGUUUGCCGUUUACCAAUAAAAUCUUAUGGUCAUCGCCAAUGCUGUAUCUGUGACAGAUAAAAGUACAUUGCAGGAACAAAUAGAUCCUCUGUGGCUCUGUCGUUCAGUCGUUACUAGUUCCUGAAGCGUUAGUGUAAAGAGACCGGAGAAGUAGUCGAGAUCGAGGCCGUUGUCUUGUAGUCGGUUCAGGCAGGCCCGAGGUCACAUUGUUGGCCCUGCUCGAAAAUGUUGCAAGAUGGGAUCGAAGCAGAUCAUUAUGCUCGAAAAUGUAUUUGCAUGGCUUUGUUCCAAAGUUCCUCCGUCAACCAUGCAAGAGUCAGUCUUUUUUUAGUGUGACUGAAUCUUGGCUGCAAGCAAAGCUACAGCCUGCAAACUGCAGGUCACACGAUUCACUUGAUACAUGACUGAAUGGAAGGGAACAUGCCGGUCAUGUUUAGUUCCCUCCAAACUCCCAACUUUGACGCUAUGCAAAAAAAAGAUUCCCCAUCAUAUCAAACUUGCGGUACAUGCAUGGAGUACUAAAUGUAGACGAAAUCAAAAACUAAUUGUACAGUUUUGUUGUACUUUGCGAGACGAAUCUUUUGAGCCUAAUUAGUCAAUAUUUGGAUAAUAAUUCACAAAUACAAACGAAACGGUACAGUUGCGCAUUUAUAGCAAAAUGUCAAUUUUGCCUAUCCCAAAUUGGAAACUAAACAAGGCCUAACAUCUGAGCUGUCGCCGCCGGCAAGGAGUGUAUCCAUUUGUGCAGCCCAAUCACAAAUGCUCGUAUGGGCUACUUUGAAGCGGCAGCAGCAAGACUGUUGCCGAGCACCAAAUGUCAUUCUUUAUCCGAUCUUCAGAAUUCGGUCAUGUAAUAAUUCAGUUCACUCCUUGACUUGAUGAGUGCACUCAAUCACCCAUGAUGAAUGAAUGAUUGAUUAGCAGUUUGCUGGAUGGCAUUGAGAAUAGUUUAGCGGCAUCAGCGCGUGGGGAAUAUAUAGUUUAGCGGCAGGGGCCCAGGACACAGUGCAGGGAAUCAGAGUUCUCGCAAAGAAAACCUUUCUCCGUAGAAUUGCUCAAAGAAUCGUAGAGAAUCACUUUCAAAUUGCAUUAGUAUGUCAAGAACUCACGAUCACUUUCAAAAACGGAACCGGAAACGAUGGGGAGACCUUGGCCUUGACCUGGAGUCGUCGACUGGAGACUGGAGUCAGCACGUGAGCGUGGCCCUCCUGGACAAGCAGCGGGGCCAGGAGCAGGACGUGCAGCGACCAGCAAUCAUUGAGUUUGGUGUUUGAGCAGCGGGGCCACUGAGCGGUGGUGCAUUAUUACCUUCAAUUAUUAAUUGCCUUCCCCUUCCCCUGCAUCCGCAUCCCAUCGACCUCUGCUUCGUGCGAUUCCAAGGCUGUUGCGAGCGGUGAGCUGUGUUGCGGCCGAGCAAGCUUGAAUCAAGCAACCUCGGUCCGGCGACGAGCGGCUGGCGGCGCGAUCCGGCAAACCAGUGAGUCCUAGCUGUCGCACCCUUGUCCUUCAAUCUUCUUCAUGCCCAUCCAUUCCCAUUAGGCAAUAGCUACAGCCUACGAAAAGGCAGGUCGAGCACCCCCAUCCGAAGGAGCCCAAGCGGCCAUCCACAAAGACGUAAAGUCACGAGACCCUAUCGUUAGCUUCUCUCAUCAGUUAAUAUGAUUUCUGUUGUUAGCUUCUCUCCAUCUGAAUUAAGCUGUUCAAACGAUGUCACAAUUUGAUUAAUGAUUUGAAUUUUAAUGGUAGAUCGUCAACAACUCAAAUGUCGAGAAAAACAUCAAUCACACAUCAUUCAGUUUCAUUUUAGUACUAGCAUACAACCUUACUCAUUGGUCUUGCCCAGGGACAACAAAUCCAUGGAGAUCGUGGCGGGGGCACUGCCGAGCCUCCUCCCCAAGCUUGCUGAGCUGCUAGUAGGCGAGUACAAUCUGCAAAAGGAGGUGAAAGGAGGCAUCAUCUUCCUCCAAGCUGAGCUCGAGAGCAUGCAAGGUGCCCUCGAGAAGAUCUCGAGGACACCAGCAGACAAGAUUGACGACCAGGACAAGAUCUGGGCUAGGAAAGUGAGAGAGAUGUCCUACGAUAUAGAGGACAAUAUUGACAAAUAUAUCCUGCAGUGCAAGGGGAGGAAGACGGGCGAACAGCAUAGCAUCAAGGAAGCCAUUGAUAGGACCCUCAAAUGGUUCAGGCAGCCUAAGAUUCGUCGUAAGAUUGCUACAGAAAUCAGAGAGAUCAAGAGCCGUGUCAUCGAGGUGCAUGAACGGCGUCGCAGGUAUGAGGUCAGCCUUGGUGUUGAUAAGCCUGUAACUGUGGACCCUCGUUUAUUCGCUCAGUACACAGAGGUCAAAGAGCUUGUUGGCAUGGAUGAGGCAAGGGAUGAGUUAAUCAACAAGAUUAUGAUACAAGAGAAUGAAGUUCCCAAGAAGCAAGGCAAGAUAGUUUCAAUUGUUGGAUUUGGAGGCCUAGGAAAGACAACUCUUGCCAAUGCAGUGUACAAAAAGAUUAGAGCACAGUUUGAUUGCUAUGCUUUUGUUUCUGUUUCUCAAACUCCUAACCUGAAGAAACUGUACAACGGCUUGCUAUAUGAUCUUGGCAAGAGCAUCAAUGAAGAAACAUUGG
This 23262-nucleotide long non-coding RNA is filed under the name Setaria viridis. Its description in RNAcentral is "long non-coding RNA (SVIR_LNC009891)". The record is from RNAcentral. Lineage: Eukaryota; Viridiplantae; Streptophyta; Magnoliopsida; Poales; Poaceae.